This 209-nucleotide ribosomal RNA is filed under the name uncultured eukaryote. RNAcentral describes it as "partial 18S ribosomal RNA". It matches the Rfam family "Eukaryotic small subunit ribosomal RNA", at positions 1299 to 1458 of the family's 1831-position model. The record is from RNAcentral.
UGGUGGAGUGAUUUGUCUGCUUAAUUGCGUUAACGAACGAGACCUCAGCCUGCUAAAUAGUUAUGCGAACCGUCUACUCGUGUGAACGGGGCUGGACAGUCUGGGUCUUCGGACUUGGGCAUCCGGUGCCGGGAUCCUUGAUGCGUUCGUAGCAAUACUUCUUAGAGGGACAAUUGGUUUUAAGCCAAUGGAAGUUUGAGGCAACAACA